Molecule: long non-coding RNA, 1503 nt
Filed under: Oncorhynchus kisutch (coho salmon)
Lineage: Eukaryota; Metazoa; Chordata; Actinopteri; Salmoniformes; Salmonidae
Description: lncRNA (ENSOKIG00005023792.1)
Source: RNAcentral
AGGUCCUGACCACCAGGGUGGGAGACAUCCUGAACAGUACCUGCAACGACGAUUACAAGGCCAGGCUCAUCAUCCAGAAAGGAUUGGAUUCCGGUGCCAGGGAAAGGUUCCCUGACUCUCCGUGUUCCUCUUCACCCAAGGACGAAGAGGAGGUGGUUGUAAGUGUCAUGACUGUCUCAUACCCUAAACCCUCCACCUCAACCCAGGCAGCAUGGGCAGCUCCUGCCCAGACUCUGGAAGAAGAGGUGGUGGGGGCUGAGGUCUCCAAGAUGAGUGACAGCUCCCUGAUGCCCACCAAGAACAGGCAGGACCCCCUGGAGAAGAUUCCCUCCCUCCUACCAUGCAAGGAGCACAUCCUCCUUUGCAGCACUCCCUGGGCCACCGUCAUGGGCCCCCAGACUCUGAAGUUUAUUCUCCACGGCAUCAUGUGCCGACUGGAGGCCUCAGAGUCCCCCCAGACAAGGAGGGCCAAUGACCCCUUCAGGCUGAUGAAGGAUCUCUUUGUGGAGGUCCAGCAUGCCCUGAAGUAUGCUGACAUCUCUGUCGUCUUUGGCCUGGAGGAGAGCAUCCAAUUCAGUGGGGAGGAUGCGGUGAAUGCCAUCGUGAAGACUGCGGCUAAAAGAUUGUCCCUGCGUUCGGACUCCAACCGGGCUCAACUGCGUGCCGCACGCUCUGGUAGCGAGGGAGCCAUCAGGUGCAUGGCAGACACCAUCACACAAGUCAUAGAUGACUAUUCCGAGGACUGGAGUUUCAAAGGCCAUUUUGGAGCCAGGAGGAGCCGUGGUAGUGGGAGGUCACACUCCUCAACCUCCUCAAGGAGUGACGUCACCCUCACCGAGGAGCUCCUGGCUUGGAGGGAAACCCUAGAAGAGGACCUAGAGGAGAUGGCUGAUGACAGCACUGGUUUGGAAAAGACCAGUGUAAGCUCAGCCAUCUCUGAAAAGUCCCAGGUAAUUAGCUACCUUUCUGAAAGCACCAAGCCCAUCAGCAGCGCCCUCUCCACAGACCUCGAGGACAUCACCUCCACACAGGUGAGACGGCCAAAAACCAGUAGAUCGUUUAGUUAUUUGGGCUGUUUGAUUGUGAGGCAUCGACUCUUGUCUGUUUCUCUCCCUACUAAGAAGGAAGAGGCUAUGAUGAAAGAAGUGAGGAAGUCAGGAAAGAAGAAGCGAGGAAAUAACAAGAACCAGAAGAAGAACAAGGUGUCGCCUCUUAGCAAUGAUAGUACUGUGGCUGCAGAUGAGCCUAAGAAAAAACAGGCUCUCCUCCCGCGGAUCACAGCCGCCCUGGCAAAACUAUUUUGCUUCCCCUGCAAAAAAAAAUGCAAAUAGUAACUGUGCAGAAGAUGAGUUUGGGAAAACCCUGCUGCCACCUCCCCCAACCCACUUUCUAAAUAAACUCUCAAAGCCAACAGAAGAGGGAGAGAGACAACCCCCCUACUCACAACUCAUUUUAUAACACCCCAUUUAAUUCAAUAAACACAACUUGCAGCUAUUUUGAUGU